This 379-nucleotide ribosomal RNA is filed under the name uncultured bacterium. RNAcentral's name for it is "bacterial SSU rRNA". It matches the Rfam family "Bacterial small subunit ribosomal RNA", at positions 29 to 398 of the family's 1533-position model. The record is from RNAcentral.
AAUGAACGCUGGCGGCGCGCCUAAUACAUGCAAGUCGAGCGAGAAGACGUAGCAAUACGUUUGUAAAGCGGCGAACGGGUGAGGAAUACAUGGGUAACCUACCCUCGAGUGGGGAAUAACUAGCCGAAAGGUUAGCUAAUACCGCGUACGCUUCUUGGACUUCGGUUCAGGGAGGAAAGCGAUGCCGAGGGUAUCGCGCUCUUGGAUGGGCUCAUGUCCUAUCAGCUUGUUGGNGAGGUAACGGCUCACCAAGGCUUCGACGGGUAGCUGGUCUGAGAGGACGAUCAGCCACACUGGCACUGCGACACGGGCCAGACUCCUACGGGAGGCAGCAGUAAGGAAUAUUGCGCAAUGGGCGAAAGCCUGACGCAGCGACGCC